This 465-nucleotide ribosomal RNA is filed under the name uncultured bacterium. Its description in RNAcentral is "partial 16S ribosomal RNA". It matches the Rfam family "Bacterial small subunit ribosomal RNA", at positions 28 to 507 of the family's 1533-position model. The record is from RNAcentral.
GACGAACGCUGGCGGCGUGCUUAACACAUGCAAGUCGAACGGAAAGGCCCCUUUUGGGGUACUCGAGUGGCGAACGGGUGAGUAACACGUGAGUAACCUGCCCUUGACUUCGGGAUAACUUCAGGAAACUGGGGCUAAUACCGGAUAGGAAUCCUUGCUGCAUGGUGGGGGUUGGAAAGCUUCGGCGGUUUUGGAUGGACUCGCGGCUUAUCAGCUUGUUGGUGGGGUAGUGGCUUACCAAGGCUUUGACGGGUAGCCGGCCUGAGAGGGCGACCGGCCAAAAUGGGACUGAGAUACGGGCCAGACUCCCACGGGAGGCAGCAGUGGGGAAUAUUGCACAAUGGGCGGAAGCCUGAUGCAGCAACGCCGCGGGCGGGAUGACGGGCUUCGGGUUGGAAACCGCCUUCAGCAGGGGAGAAGCUUGUGGUGACGGUACCUGCAGAAGAAGCACCGGCUAACUACGUG